RNAcentral lists this ribosomal RNA (408 nucleotides) under uncultured bacterium. RNAcentral describes it as "partial 16S ribosomal RNA". It matches the Rfam family "Bacterial small subunit ribosomal RNA", at positions 29 to 526 of the family's 1533-position model. The record is from RNAcentral.
AGUGAACGCUGGCGGCGUGCCUAAUACAUGCAAGUCGAACGGAGUGGCGCACGGGUGAGUAAUGUAUAGCUAAUCUGCCCUACACUAGCGCACAACAGUUGGAAACGGCUGCUAAUACUCUAUAGUGUAGGAUGAGGCUAUAUUGUAUCAGCUAGUUGGUGAGGUAAUGGCUCACCAAGGCGAUGACGCAUAACUGGUCUUAGAGGAUGAUCAGUCAACCUGUAAGUGAGGCACGGGCGGGACUCAUACGGGAGGUAGGAGUAGGGAAUAGUGGCCAAUGGGGGAAAGCCUGAAGCAGCUACGCGGCGUGGAGGAUGACACGUGACGGAGCGUAAACGCCUUUUGUUAGGGAAGCGGUACCUAACGAAGAAGCACCGGCUAACUCCGUGCCAGCCGCCGCGGUAAUAC